GAUGAAGAACGCAGCGAAAUGCGAUACGUAAUGUGAAUUGCAGAAUUCAGUGAAUCAUCGAAUCUUUGAACGCAUAUUGCGCUCUUUGGUAUUCCGAAGAGCAUGCUUGUUUGAGUAUCAGUAAACACCUCAAAGACUUCAAUUUGUUUUGAAUGGCUUUGGACUUGAGCAAUCCCAACACCAGUCUUUACGAUCGGUGGAGGGUUGCUUGAAAUGCAGGUGCAGCUGGACAUUCUCCUGAGCUAAAAGCAUAUUUAUUUAGUCCCGUCAAACGGAUUAUUACUUUUGCUGCAGCUAACAUAAAGGGAGUUUGACCGUAUUGGCUGACUGAUGCAGGAUUUCACAAGGGUCGGCAACGAUUCUUGUAAAACUCGAUCUCAAAUCAAGUAAGACUACCCGCUGAACUUAAGCAUAUCAAUAAGCGGGGA
Molecule: unclassified non-coding RNA, 428 nt
Filed under: soil metagenome
Description: partial contains 5.8S ribosomal RNA, internal transcribed spacer 2, and large subunit ribosomal RNA
Rfam family: 5.8S ribosomal RNA (bases 1-120)
Source: RNAcentral